Lolium perenne is the source of this 542-nucleotide non-coding RNA. The record is from RefSeq and is a predicted model, not a curated record. Lineage: Eukaryota; Viridiplantae; Streptophyta; Magnoliopsida; Poales; Poaceae.
GAGGAAGAUACCAAAGGACAACUCAAUAAAGAUGCCAUCGCACGUCAACUCAGUAGUCGGCGCGACGGCAUCCGGGCUCGAGCGGGCACGUGGGAAAGCUGACAGUGGGGUGGGACUGUGGUCUACCAGAGACUUGAUUUACUUGAUAGUGUACCAGUGGAUCUCGGCGGCCGGGCAGCGCUGCAGCAGGGACGGGCGUGGACAAUCCUUUGAAGAUGGCGUGUACCUGCGGUGGUACCAGCAGAUUGUUUUACAUGAUAGCUUUAGAUCACGAAGAUAUCACAUCUUGAAGGAAAUUCUUAUUAUGGCUUGUACCUCCAGGGUACCGGUAGAUCUCGGCGGCUUUUCUGCAACAGCGACAUGCGCGACGAUCAUCUAAAGAUGUUUGAAGAUCGUCCCAGCGUGACUCAUGUCGCAUGAUUUAAUUCCUGAUGCGGUUGGUACCUGGGCGAGGUGAUGCGGUUGAGGCGAUGGGCUGAGGUCGGCCCAUGUUGAUGCCUGGCCCAGGCGGGUGGGCGACGAAGGGAUGGGAGACGGACGAC